RNAcentral lists this ribosomal RNA (287 nucleotides) under uncultured Campylobacter sp. RNAcentral describes it as "partial 16S ribosomal RNA". It matches the Rfam family "Bacterial small subunit ribosomal RNA", at positions 179 to 486 of the family's 1533-position model. Lineage: Bacteria; Pseudomonadati; Campylobacterota; Epsilonproteobacteria; Campylobacterales; Campylobacteraceae. The record is from RNAcentral.
CUGCUUAACACAAGUUGAGUAGGGAAAGUUUUUCGGUGUAGGAUGAGACUAUAUAGUAUCAGCUAGUUGGUAGGGUAAUGGCUUACCAAGGCUAUGACGCUUAACUGGUCUGAGAGGAUGAUCAGUCACACUGGAACUGAGACACGGUCCAGACUCCUACGGGAGGCAGCAGUAGGGAAUAUUGCGCAAUGGGGGAAACCCUGACGCAGCAACGCCGCGUGGAGGAUGACACUCUUCGGAGCGUAAACUCCUUUUCUUAGGGAAGAAUUCUGACGGUACCUAAGGAA